AUGAACGCUGGCGGCGUGCCUCAUCCAUGCCAGUCGCGCGAACAGACGAGGAGCUUGCUCCUUUGACGUUAGCGGCGGACGGGUGAGUAACACGUAGGUAACCUACCUAUAAGACUGGGAUAACUUCGGGAAACCGGAGCUAAUACCGGAUAAUAUUUCGAACCGCAUGGUUCGAUAGUGAAAGAUGGCUUUGCUAUCACUUAUAGAUGGACCUGCGCCGUAUUAGCUAGUUGGUAAGGUAACGGCUUACCAAGGCAACGAUACGUAGCCGACCUGAGAGGGUGAUCGGCCACACUGGAACUGAGACACGGUCCAGACUCCUACGGGAGGCAGCAGUAGGGAAUCUUCCGCAAUGGGCGAAAGCCUGACGGAGCAACGCCGCGUGAGUGAUGAAGGUCUUCGGAUCGUAAAACUCUGUUAUUAGGGAAGAACAAACGUGUAAGUAACUGUGCACGUCUUGACGGUACCUAAUCAGAAAGCCACGGCUAACUACGUG
Molecule: ribosomal RNA, 496 nt
Filed under: uncultured bacterium
Lineage: Bacteria
Description: partial 16S ribosomal RNA
Rfam family: Bacterial small subunit ribosomal RNA
Source: RNAcentral